UUCCAUUUAUAAUUCACUUUUAAUAGUAUAAACCUCAUUUAGGUAGUAGUAUUAAGCCACAACAAUAUAAUGCCACAUUUAAACAGCAUUUAAUAAAAUGCAUAAGCUAAUUCAUGCACUGCAAUACUCUAUAUACAAACACAACAAUGCAAAUUCCUCUUCGUGUCUGAAGACAUUGAUUAGAUAUAAAAUCCAGAUAAAAAAGAACAUGCUAUUAUUUUUUUAGAUGCCAUCACACAUACAAAGUCGAUUUCUACAGAGCUGGGAGAAGCAACAGCCUCCAGCAGGUUUGAAACCUGGAAUUCCAAUGUAACGGCAUAAACAACACUUGCUAAGGAUGAAGAGCAGAGGUUACAGAAAAGGUCCCAUGGCAAACGACGCCCGAUGUCUGGAGCGGCACUAUUUCCUGAGACUGAAGAUGCAGCCUCGGGUACAGCACAGCGAGCAGCAGGGAGAGGAGGCCAGGCUGGGCCUACAGAGAGAGUGCGGGUUGUCAGUCCGAAAACCAAGGGGAAAACAGGUUGACAAAGCAUUCUGGAGAAUAGCAGACUCUCCAGAGACAGUCCAGUCCUUGAAUUUUAUGUGGCAGCAGCUUUCUUUUCAUGGUGCUAUGGUAAUUUAAAUGAUUAUUGUACUUCUCCUACAUAAGACCCCUGCUUAAAGUGAAAGCUCUUCAUUUCAUUAUUAACUAAAACAUAAAAUAAACAUUCUGAGGAAGCAAUAAUGGCAGAUCCUCUCCAAUAUGGCUUCCUAGGUGCUAGGUGUAUGUAAAUAUACAAAAAAAGGUCUUCACACUUCCCGGGUUAAUCAAAAAUCUAUGCAUUAAACAUAAAAUACACAAAAAGCCUUGACACACUCUUCCUUUCCUCACUUAUCAUACCACUCACUAUAUGAGUGCCUUUUCUUUAAAAUCCUGUUUAUCGUUAAAAUGGUGUCAGUCAGUAUGAUCAAUCUACUUUUAAGGAAAUUUGAUAUUUUAAAAAUUAUGUUGUCAUCAAAACUUCAUUUUUUGUACCUCUUUUUUCCUUCACCUUUCCUCAGAAAGAAUCAAUGGGAUGAUUGUUAUUAAAACUUUAUGAUGAAACCUAAAAUGUUGAAAAGCAGUAACUCCCACAGCCUCCUAUUUGAUUAGGGAUAGCCAUCAUUUAUUAAUUUUUCAUAAAUGUCAAAACAAUUCAGUAAUCUCUGUGGCAAUUUAUUUUGUAUUUUUUAAAAAUCCUAUAUGAUUCUAUCCCUCUUAUAUUUCCGUUAGUCACUAAAAUUGUUGCAGCAUGCUCUUUUUUGUAAACCAAUUUCCCACAAGAGAAUUCUUCCAAAAUGUUGCCAUCUUUUUUUUUUUUUUUUAAAACUGUACCAUGAUUGAUGUGGAUAAUAGCUUUCUCCUUAGGUGGAACUUCUAAUUGUAAAUCCAAAUAACGGUAUGUUUAAAAAAACAAAACAAAAUACAAAAAGAUCAGUAUGGAAUCUAACGGAUGGUUCUGCAUUUCUCAAGAGCCGUUUGUAGCUCCAAAGUUGAAAGUAAGCAUAAUCAUGGGCAGUAAACUCCCUCCCCACUGAUUUUAAGUGACUAAAUGUAAUUUGGCUAAAAUAAGUGCCACAUAAAAGUCAACAGUAGUAAAAAUAUGCAUACAUUUUUUUCCUCCUUCAAAAAUGAAUACUGUUUUAAAAAAAUACAUAUCACCUUCUAGAACUGCCCCUCUCUAUGACAUCUUUUGCUUGUUGGCUCCCCUUUCCCUCAUCUCCCCAAGCCCAUCCUCACCAGGAACUUAGAAAACAGCACCCCUCCCACUAUCACCAACAGACAUAGUCAGCAUGAAAGGAUCCUUCUGACUGAGGCACCAAGAAGAGUGGAAACUAACACCACUCCUGGAAACUGAGUCCACAUCACUGAAAUAACAUUCUUCAUGUCUGAAUCUGAGUUGGGACAACUGUAGUUGACAGUGGGAUAUUCCCAGUGUGCUCUGAGAAACAGAGAAGUGCAACACGAAUUUAGUUUUGCACCUCACAAUGUACUUCAACUUGGGCACUGAAGAAAGCAAGUUGAAUGACCAUAUUUUAAACACAGUGAAUUAGAAUGCCCCUUGUCCCAUGCCCUCUGAACUCAAGCCAAUAUCCUCUUCUACAUAAUUAGGGAAUAGAUGGACAUGUGCAUUCUACUGGAAUAGUUUUUAUUUCAUCUUGUCUUUCUUUUUUUUACUCGUACAGUUAGGACUUAGCUAACUUUUCUUACCCUGGGUGGUGUAUUGCGCCCCUCCCCCCGCCCCCAAUCCGACCACCCAAAUAAGAAAAAUAUAAAAAGGUUUAGGAAAACCUCCAAUGCUGGGGGAUUGUAUAAACAUUGAGGACACUUUAGCUCACAUUAGCAACUCAAUCAUAAACUCUCUUUAAACAUAAAAAUGUUUGAAUACAUGGCUACAUAUCUGUAUACAUAAUAUACAUAUAUAUAUAAACAUACACACAUAUUUACACUGUACAUAUAUAUAAGGUAUAAACACUUAUAAAGUCAUUCAUUCAUACACACGUACAUACAAAUCUGUACACGUACAUAGUUGAAGUGAUUCCUAAUACAGGACAUGCAGAAAUGCACAAUUUUGGGAGGCACAAAAAGAAGAUAUUUAUAAACCUGCAUAUAAAACCCACCCCCCAAAUAACCCCAAAUCUAUUAGGGCUUUCUCUCUUUGUCAUUUAUAUCUUAGUUGAGAUAUUUCUUUUAAAAAGAAUCUCCCAUAAUCCAAAGGGUUUGAAAAAGUGAGAUCAAAGGAAGCAUGUAGAGCUGAGUAUUCUACUCUGCCAACUGGGACCAACUUCAUAAUGAACUGAGAACCCACUCCAAUUUAAGCUACAUCAGGAAAUGGUGCUGUGGAGUAAAAGAAAUGUUAGGGGGUCACAGUAGAAUCUGCAAUGGAAAAUAGGGAUGAUUCACAGCCAGACUCUAUUCUGAGUAAGAGGUCUGUCUACCAAAAUGGACAACUGUUUCUGAAUUGGAGCUGUCCUGGCUUCAAAAAAUGACUACAAUAUGCACAUGUGGUAUGGAACAAGUCUUGGAUCUUUAAGAUGGAUCUGUAAUACAAUUCUGCCAGAAGGACAAGGAUUUCUCUUCUUUCCCUCUCCCCCAGCCUAAUGUACUUCCCAUAUCCAGCCAAAUGGUUAUAAAACUCUAGCUCUAUGAAUCAACCCCAUAAGUAAAUUAAAAAUCUAGGUCUGUAGUGUGGACACAAAUAAAUUAUAUAAGGGGUUGCUAAAAACAUAAAGAUGCUUGUAAUAGAACAGAUGCAGCUACACUGUCAUUAGCCUGGCAUCUAAAACAUCAUGAACCCAAAGUUAAUUAAACACUGACUCUAACAAAACCUAAAAAAAAUCCCUAAAUUGGAGAAUUAUAUACCUAACACACAACAAUUUACCUUAAAAUGCAAAAACAAAAUAAAACAACAAAAAACCCCCACACAAACUCAAAACAUCACAUUCUUGGAAAAGAAUUGGACAAUAAAUAAUAUUAAAAAAAAAUCUUCAGAACCACAAAUUUCACAACUAGAGAAAUGUUAUAUUUACUCUAAAAAAAAAAAUGCUUAGUAUUGUUUGGAAAUUCUGAUCUUUGUAAACCUAACAGAAAUCAGAAAACGUUAAUUCUUUUCUUAUAUGAUUUAGACCAUUCCAAGUGUCAGAUCACUGUCUUCUAAAAUCAACUGAUUCUACAUAAGUCUUCAAAACAAGGUUUUAUUUAGCAGAAGAAGUAAAGGGCAUGUGUUUGUGAAGGAAAUGAAGGCCAUAUCUACCUUGAGACUCUGGAAACAAUCUCUUUCCUGACGGUCAUCUGAGGGAGGAGGGCAGUAAGUGGAAGCCUGGCUGAGGGACAGCCAUGGUAUAAAUAUCACAAUAGAUUUCAACUUUUUUUGUACUUUUGUUGAAUGUAAAAGUGUUCAGGGUCAGGUUUCUUUCGAGAUUCUUUCCUUAAGUGUUCCCACCUUCUCCCUCUUUCUCCAUUUCCAAAUCAGAGAACCAAGCAGCAACCCUUUCUGCAUUCAGGUUUUAAGAAAAUACCUGGAAGCAUUCAUUCUCCCGGGCCAAAUAUCUUCCUGGUAAUUUCUAUGGACUGGUUUACAGGAUAUAAUCAUUUCUCCUAUCACCAAAUGCCAUAUCUUUCUUUAAGUGGAGAUACUGAAUUUCUGAAGUAGGUGUUUUUUAUUUUUAUUCUUAGACUUAAGGCAUACUCUUUUUAUCAGUAAUGAUAUCAACUUCAUAUUUCCUGGAUAUAUGACUGCACUGCAGCAGAAUGUUAUGUGUAGAGCUGGGGAAAAUGUCUCAUAAAUUGAAAAUAAAAAAAAAAUCUAAGUGUUGAUGGCUCUAUCCCAGGAAAUAAGCUAAUAGCUAAAACUAUCUGGCUGUUGUUAAGAGCACUCUCCAUCUUGAAGGCAUUCUCUUUAUGAAUGUAGACUAAAAUGACUUUCACUGUCUAAAGACAACUUUCAUUUCUACCAUUCAGAUUACUUAAGUGAAUAAAGACCCGAUUUCUCUUCUUGCUAUAUUUACUAUUUCAUAACUUAAGGCUUAAUCAAAGUUUGAAUUCAACCUUUUGGAAGGAAUUCCUUUAAAGAAGUCAUGAUUCAAGAGUUUGUUUUUCUUUGUCCAAUGGCCAAAAAUAAAAAGGCUAUAAAGGCAAUCCUAAGCUCUUGACAAUUUCUGUCCUAUUCACUUGAAAUAGUCCUUAUGGAAAAUUAUUCUUUGAUAAAAAAAUCAAGAAGAACCUAGGCAUCAAGGAAAAUGUUUCAAAAAUUUAAAAUAUUUUGGUUCCUUAAAAGCAGUUUGGUGAGCACUGGCAAGGAAGUUUAAAAUCAUGUAAACAAAGAACCAAAGCUGACUUGUUUCUUCAGGCACUAUGAAGUCACUGUAGCAGAAACCCUAAUCUUUCUUAAGGUUGAAUCUUUACCAAAGUUUUAGCAUUUGAGUAAUUUAAAGAAAAGAAAAAUAAAUUUUAUGGUGAUCUCUCUAUUCCAUUCUUCUAAUAUAUCUGAAGUAAUUUUGUCUCUGAAGACAUUAUUCUAAUUUAAAAUCAAAACAACAUAAUGAACAUGGAAAGCAUCCCCCACCUCACUCCUCAAAUGAAAUGGGAAUCAGGUGAACUAGAAUGCCAUCACUGUUCAAAGGCACUCCCAAGAGGGAGCUCAGAGCCAUCAUGGCUCCUUGAAAGACAACAGACUGUUCUUCUAGAAUUAUACCACAUGAUCAUCAGUGUGCCUGUUUUAAAAAAGGUAUUACUUUUUAUGGGAUACCUACUGUUUACAACUGACAUCUAUCCACAUUCUUUGAAUUGCUACAGACAGUCAUCAACUCCAUUAUUUUGGCCAAAUUUCUUUUUUCCUUUAUCAUUCAAAACAUAGGGAAGUCAACAAAAAACAAAACAAACCUUGUCCCCAAAGAGAAAAAUAAUAUUCUUUUUCUUUAUAUUUACAUAAUUAAAAAAUGCUCAUAAUUUAAAAAUACCAUGAGAUAUUCCACCAAAAUUGAAGUUCAGAAGUGGGGAGCUGAUGUCUUAAGUGAACGAGCUUCCCACUAACAAAGGCCGUCUUAAAGAGUGACUAAUACUUAAUUUUGGUUGAUUCUGAGCAGAGAUUCCAGAAAGCUUUGGCAGCUUUUACUUAGCUCAUUUAACAAGGUGGCACAGGGAACUACAGGUGCAUUUCGAGGGGUGAUGAGUUUUCUCUGGCACCUUGUAUAUAAUACUGGGCAGUUAAUUUGUCCAAUUGUUAUGAAAAGAGAGCUAUUGGAAUGUGGCAGAUCAAAAUGAGGAAGAAGCCGUACCCGUAAGGCAAAGGACAAGUGUGGCCAGGGAAAAAGUCUUACUGUGAAUGGGUAAUGUUGAAGCCUGUACAGCCUAUUUAGCUACCUAAAGAAAAUAUUUGUUACUUCCAAACAGCCACCUGUAAUAGCUAACAGACCCUUCUGCCAAGGGACGCAAUAAUGAAUUCCACAUUAUGGGAUGUUUUUUCUUACCAAAAAACAUGUCUUUUAUGCAUGAACACAUAAAAAAGGAACUGUGGUGAAUCUAGAUUCCCUUUGGACAAAUCACUUUGCCCUUAUUUACAUACUUCUGAGAUAAUUUAAAUGCUUUAUCUAUGCCCUAUCAUCUAGGGCUGCUCAUUUUUUAAAGUAAUAGUGGGCAUAUUAUAUUCUUUGCUUGAAUCCUUACACCCAGGAGCCCAAGAUGUGAAACUGGCCAUUAUAAAGGUAGAUGAACAAAAUUGCACAUCAGAUGCCCGUGCCCUCAUCUUCGUGACUGGCCUUACAAAUAGAAAAGUUACAUUUUAUCAAUGCAGUUUGAUGAGGACACAAUAAAAACAAUAUGACUGCUGUCUGAAUGACAACAGAGAAGAAUCCCCAGUCACACAUAAUCUGUUCAGUUUAAGAAGGAACUUAUCAAUACCAAAUCAAUACCGUGAUACUGUGAGUCACUUCUCCAGGACAAAAGCCAAAGACAUUAGUGACCUCAAUACAAUUACUUAGUCAUUAACUGCAGGAGCACAUGAUUUUUUUUUAAUAGAAUAUAAUUCUGAAUGCCAACCCAAGUGGGACAUCAAUGUAAAAUGAAAUGGGAGAAUUCAGGGAACUAAUGCAAGGAAUGGAAAACUUGGUACUUAUCUGGGACUGAUCAAAGCAGCACUACUGUGGGCCUGCAAAAGCCAACAAAAUACCCACCACCCUGGGAAGCCAACAGCAGGAAGUAUGGGCAUGUGUUCAGUUACUGGAUAGGCUGGAUGUCUAUCUUGGCAGUUAAUUACUGACUAAUUGCACUGCAAUUCAGAGUCAGCGAUUAGAACAAGUCUUGAUUUUCCAUGAUCAUAUCAAGAGCUCCAUCUAGGGCAUUCACGAUCACUGACUGUCCCUGCGUGGGCCAUGGCUGUGGCAGUUAUUUAGCUGCUAAUUGUGCUAUAGACAUGCCGCAAAGAAACCACACCCUCAGUACUUUUGAGGACUCUAAAGAUGCACAUCACCAACAUGUGCAUACAAACUCACGCUGCCUUUCUGCCUUAAGUAGAAGUGAUUGUCUCUUUUUUCUGUCCCCCUUUAAGUUUUCAUAGAAAUCAUCAUUUUGGCCAAGGACACAGAACAUUUUCUCCUCGCCUAUUCACAGGCAAGAUACUGAUAAC
RNAcentral lists this long non-coding RNA (7142 nucleotides) under Sarcophilus harrisii (Tasmanian devil). RNAcentral's name for it is "lncRNA (ENSSHAG00000028967.1)". Lineage: Eukaryota; Metazoa; Chordata; Mammalia; Dasyuromorphia; Dasyuridae. The record is from RNAcentral.